RNAcentral lists this ribosomal RNA (103 nucleotides) under Diospyros virginiana (American persimmon). Its description in RNAcentral is "4.5S ribosomal RNA". Lineage: Eukaryota; Viridiplantae; Streptophyta; Magnoliopsida; Ericales; Ebenaceae. RNAcentral also lists the same sequence under 11 other names. The record is from RNAcentral.
AAGGUCACGGCGAGACGAGCCGUUUAUCAUUACGAUAGGUGUCAAGUGGAAGUGCAGUGAUGUAUGCAGCUGAGGCAUCCUAACAGACCGCUUAGGCUUGAAC